UACAGAGGGGGCAAGCGUUAUUCGGAAUUACUGGGCGUAAAGCGCACGUAGGCGGACUGUUAAGUCGGGGGUGAAAUCCUGGGGCUCAACCUCAGAAUUGCCUCCGAUACUGGCAGUCUCGAGUGCGGGAGAGGUGAGUGGAAUUCCCAGUGUAGAGGUGAAAUUCGUAGAUAUUGGGAAGAACACCAGUGGCGAAGGCGGCUCACUGGCCCGUAACUGACGCUGAGGUGCGAAAGCGUGGGGAGCAAACAGG
This 253-nucleotide ribosomal RNA is filed under the name uncultured bacterium. RNAcentral describes it as "partial 16S ribosomal RNA". It matches the Rfam family "Bacterial small subunit ribosomal RNA", at positions 524 to 776 of the family's 1533-position model. The record is from RNAcentral.